CUAAAGUGUAAAUAUAAACAAUAAUAUUUAUAAGCAUACACAAAGCAAAAUAUUUUCAACUCACGGCACUAUUGAAGAAUCUCAGUUAAGUAAUUCAGGAUAAUUUUAAUUCAGUAUUUUCUUCGAGUUGUCUGACCGUAUCACUCAACGAAAUAGAAUAACAGGUUCCGAGCCACACAGAAAAGGACUUCAUCCUCUAGAAAGACAACUGUCGAGGAGCAAAAUCAACUAGUUACAAUGGUGCCCUUGGAAAAGGAAAGUCGACGAGAUUCGCGUACAACCAAAUAUCAAGAGUCAACGUACAGAGGAGAAAAUAAGGCUACAAAAGUAACAACAAACUGGAGUCGAGAAAGGAUGUUAAAUGAAAGCGAUAGAAUGGCCAAACAACAUUUUAUGUGCUACAAUAUUAAUCAGAGAUGCACUGAACUACCAAGCAAAGAAAGAGUAUUUCCCGUAUUAUUCACACGGCAAUAAUACAUAAACCUGAUGUUAUAACUAAACUUGAUGGUUUUGCUGAACUUGAUGUUAUAGUGCAAUAAUAAUAUCAAAUAAAGAUACACGAAUACUUGUUAUACGA
Molecule: long non-coding RNA, 577 nt
Organism: Armigeres subalbatus
Lineage: Eukaryota; Metazoa; Arthropoda; Insecta; Diptera; Culicidae
Exons: 3
Source: RefSeq, a predicted model, not a curated record